This 817-nucleotide ribosomal RNA is filed under the name uncultured Bacillota bacterium. RNAcentral describes it as "bacterial SSU rRNA". It matches the Rfam family "Bacterial small subunit ribosomal RNA", at positions 58 to 907 of the family's 1533-position model. The record is from RNAcentral. Lineage: Bacteria; Bacillati; Bacillota.
CAAGUCGCACGAGAAAGUGGAGCAAUCCAUGAGUACAGUGGCGUACGGGUGAGUAACACGUGGAUGAUCUACCUCUUAGUGGGGAAUAACCCUGGGAAACCGGGGCUAAUACCGCAUAAGCUCGAGAGAGGAAAGCAGCAAUGCGCUGAGAGAGGAGUCCGCGGCCGAUUAGCUAGUUGGCAGGGUAAGAGCCUACCAAGGCAGAGCUCGGUAGCCGGCCUGAGAGGGCACACGGCCACACUGGCACUGAAACACGGGCCAGACUCCUACGGGAGGCAGCAGUGGGGAAUCUUGCACAAUGGGGGAAACCCUGAUGCAGCGACGCCGCGUGAGCGAUGAAGCCCUUCGGGGUGUAAAGCUCUUUCGGCAGGGAAGAUAAUGACGGUACCUGCAGAAGCAGCUGCGGCUAACUACGUGCCAGCAGCCGCGGUAAUACGUAGGCAGCGAGCGUUGUUCGGAGUUACUGGGCGUAAAGGGUGUGUAGGCGGUUGUUUAAGUUUGGUGUGAAAUCUCCCGGCUCAACUGGGAGGGUGCGCCGAAUACUGAAUGACUUGGAGUGCGGGAGAGGAAAGUGGAAUUCCUGGUGUAGCGGUGAAAUGCGUAGAUAUCAGGAGGAACACCGGUGGUGUAGACGGCUUUCUGGACCGUAACUGACGCUGAGACACGGAAGCGUGGGUAGCAAACAGGAUUAGAUACCCUGGUAGUCCACGCCCUAAACGAUGCAUAUUUGGUGUGGGCAGUUCAUUCUGUCCGUGCCGGAGCUAACGCGUUAAAUAUGCCGCCUGGGGAGUACAGUCGCAAGGCUGAAACUCAAAGG